This 793-nucleotide ribosomal RNA is filed under the name uncultured bacterium. RNAcentral's name for it is "bacterial SSU rRNA". It matches the Rfam family "Bacterial small subunit ribosomal RNA", at positions 8 to 793 of the family's 1533-position model. The record is from RNAcentral.
AGAGUUUGAUCCUGGCUCAGGAUGAACGCUAGCGGGAGGCUUAACACAUGCAAGUCGAGGGGCAGCACGAGGUAGCAAUACUUUGGUGGCGACCGGCGCACGGGUGAGUAACAGGUAUGCAACUUACCCUGUACCGGGGGAUAACCCGGAGAAAUUCGGACUAAUACCCCAUAAUAUUAUUGGGAGGCAUCUUUUAAUAAUUAAAAUUCAGAUGGUACAGGAUGGGCAUGCUCAACAUUAGCUAGUUGGUAGGGUAACGGCCUACCAAGGCUACGAUGUUUAGGGGGCCUGAGAGGGUGAUCCCCCACACUGGUACUGAGACACGGACCAGACUCCUACGGGAGGCAGCAGUGAGGAAUAUUGGUCAAUGGGCGCAAGCCUGAACCAGCCAUCCCGCGUGCAGGAAGACGGCGCUAUGCGUUGUAAACUGCCUUUCUGGAGGAAGAAACGCUUCGACGUGUCGGGGUUUGACAGUACUUCAGGAAUAAGCAUCGGCUAACUCCGUGCCAGCAGCCGCGGUAAUACGGAGGAUGCGAGCGUUAUCCGGAUUCAUUGGGUUUAAAGGGUGCGUAGGCGGACUUAUAAGUCAGUGGUGAAAUCCUGCAGCUUAACUGUAGCACUGCCAUUGAUACUGUUAGUCUUGAGUUUGGUUAAGGUAGGCGGAAUGUGUAAUGUAGCGGUGAAAUGCUUAGAUAUUACCCAGAACACCAAUUGCGAAAGGCAGCUUACUGGACCGAUACUGACGCUGAUGCACGAAAGCGUGGGGAGCGAACAGGAUUAGAUACCCUGGUAG